RNAcentral lists this ribosomal RNA (468 nucleotides) under uncultured bacterium. RNAcentral's name for it is "partial 16S ribosomal RNA". It matches the Rfam family "Bacterial small subunit ribosomal RNA", at positions 28 to 507 of the family's 1533-position model. The record is from RNAcentral.
GACGAACGCUGGCGGCGUGCUUAACACAUGCAAGUCGAACGGAAAGGCCCUGCUUUUGUGGGGUGCUCGAGUGGCGAACGGGUGAGUAACCCGUGAGUAACCUGCCCUUGACUUUGGGAUAACUUCAGGAAACUGGGUCUAAUACCGGAUAGGAUCUCCUGCUGCAUGGUGGGGGUUGGAAAGUUUCGGCGGUUGGGGAUGGACUCGCGGCGUAUCAGCUUGUUGGUGGGGUAGUGGCUUACCAAGGCUUUGACGGGUAGCCGGCCUGCGAGGGUGACCUGCCACAUUGGGACUGGGAUGAGGCCCAGACUCCAACGGGAGGCAGCAGUGGAGAAGAUUGCACAAUGGGCGGAAGCCUGAUGCAGCAACGCCGCGUGCGGGAUGACGGGCUUCGGGUUGUAAUCCGCUGUCGCCUGUGACGAAGCGUGAGUGACGGUAAUGGGUAAAGAAGCACCGGCUAACUACGUG